GUUUGGUCCUAACCUUAAUAUUAAUUUUAACUACAAUUAUACAUGCAAGUAUCCGCCCCCCUGUGAAAACACCCUAUUUUACCUAUUAGUAAAAAAGGAGUUGAUAUCAGGCACUAAAAAGCCUAUAACAUCUAGCGUAGCCACACCCUCAAGGGAACUUCAGCAGUAAUAAAUAUUGGACAAUAAGCGAUAAAAGCUUGAACCAGUAAUAGUUAAUAAGACCGGUCAAUCUCGUGCCAGCCACCGCGGUUAUACGAGAGGUCUAAAUUAAUAAUAACGGCUCAAAGGGUGGUUAGAGUAUAUUAAAUAAUAAUAAGACUAAAAAUAAAUUAAGCUGUCGCACGCAAAAAUUUAAUAUAAACCCUAAGACGAAAGUUGUCUUAAAAUAAAACUAACUUGAAGCCACGACAUCUAGGAUACAAACUAGGAUUAGAUACCCUACUAUGCCUAGACAUAAACUUUGAUAACUUC
Molecule: ribosomal RNA, 471 nt
Filed under: Pseudobranchus striatus (slender dwarf siren)
Lineage: Eukaryota; Metazoa; Chordata; Amphibia; Caudata; Sirenidae
Description: partial 12S ribosomal RNA
Rfam family: Bacterial small subunit ribosomal RNA
Source: RNAcentral